Molecule: small nucleolar RNA, 95 nt
Organism: Tripterygium wilfordii
Lineage: Eukaryota; Viridiplantae; Streptophyta; Magnoliopsida; Celastrales; Celastraceae
Source: RefSeq, a predicted model, not a curated record
GUAUUUUUCUAUGAUGAUCAAUGUUCUAAUCCCAGCUCUAUGAGACCUUUUGUAGGUCAGGGAAUUGACUCUGUACGACAUUAAUCUGAACCUUC